UUAAACACACCUUAUUAAACAAAUACUGUUGAUGUAUUUAACAUUGAACUCACAUCCAAUAGCACUGCAGCUUAUACACAAACAAAGCUUAUGUAACACACAUUCUGUCCAGAAGGCAUAUUAUAGACUUCUUGCUGUUAGAAACACUAGACAGUACUUUAGUAUUACUCUUGAGGCCAUCAUAAACAGCAACAUGGCCAAGAAAAAAGCACAAAAAUGCAAACAACAUAGCACUAAACAGAUCAUGAAGCGGCAGGAAAUUGCGUUGUUCAGCCUCAGAUGGAAACAUGCAUCAAGUAACUCAAAUUUAUCACCACAAUGUACAUGUCCACAGAUGGCUGCAGAAACACCACAAGCAUUAUUUGGGGGUUACAAAUAAAUUUUAGUAAGUAGGUAAAUUUGCAAAUAGGAAAUCUAUGAAUAAUGAGCCGUAGAUAUGUACACACACACAAUCAUUAUACUCACUUUACAGAGAAGGACACAGAGGCUCAGAGAGGCCCACUGACCUGCUCACUGCUGUAUAGCUCCUAAGUGGCAGGAUUUGAACCGAGGGUCAUUCCUCCCAGAUUUCCCGCCUUCAAAGACGGAUGUUUGGAUCUUUUCCAUCAUUCCUGGUCCUCCUUUUAUGAACCCCAAAGAGCUCAGUGUUGUGUCACAUAGGAUUUGAAAGAAUCAGAAGACCCAGGCUUGAGAGCCAGCCUGACCCUCAGUUUUCCCGUCUGUAAAUGGAGAUAACAGCUCCUUCCUCACCUGAGGGUUGUCAGGAUGCUAAUGAACCUGCAGGUGUUUGAAGUGUGAGUUACUGACUUUACUUCGCCUGCAAACAGGCCUUUCCCAUUAAAGCUAAUGCUUCCAUUCCGGUGCUAUCCCACUGAGCAGACUGGGAUAGGUCCUGGCCCUCCCCCAGCUGGAACUGAGAGCCCUUUCCUGGCAGGCCUGGGGCUGUGAGAGGAGCCUAUGAGCACACUCCGGAAAAGGAUGCUCGUGCUUUCUCCAGUGGACAGUAAUCCCUCACAGUCCCUUGCCUUCCUCCAGAGCCCAAGGUUUAUUUUUAGAAACACAAUUUUUUCUCCCUUUUCUUUUUCCUUCCAGGGUCCGAUAGUGCAAAGAUGGCUCCCGUAAGAGGCCCCUGUGCAAGCUGAGCCUGUGGCACUGUGGAAAGACUCCACACUUUGAAGUUAGACAGCACUGUGUCCAAAUGCCAAUGCCGCUAAUAAGUGCAUGACCCUCACUCGCCUGCUUGGACCCUCGGUUUUCUUAUCGCAAAAUGCAAUGAGUAAAAUAGUACCUGCCUAUUGAAGGAUUGAUUGAAGAAUUAAAUGGGUUAAGGUCCUUUGCACUUUGCUGCUCCAAGCAUGUCCUGGGACCAGCAGCAUAGGCAACACCUUUUAGAAAUGCAGGAACUCAGGCCCACCCCAGACCUACUGAAUCAGAAUCUGCUUUUUAACAAGUCCCCAGGAGGCUUUUGGAAGACCAGACUUUGUUAUCUGCAGCCUGGUUUCUUCACCCUCUUUUGCCCAUCACAUUCAUUGAAGGCCCGACUGUAGGAUCAGACUCCACCUACCUUGAAUGUAUAACCAUCAGCGCACAAAAUAAUAGAUGAGGCAUUUGAAGCCCAGAGAUCACACAGCUAAAAAGCGAGGAAUAAGGCACCACUCAGCUUCCAGGAAGUUUGGGUAUACCGGACAGCAAAUGAAUAUCCAGCAGGGAACUGUUAGAGGCCACUGGCAACAGCCGCUGCCCCCUUGACUGGCUUAAUGAAGACUUGGCAUGCAGCAGAAGAGCCAGCAAACAGGACUGACGAGAUGUGCCUGUGCUUGAGCCAUCACCAACAACACCCAGCCAUGCCCUCCCCAUGCUGGUUUUGAUGACAUAAGGCCCACUGAACUUUGAAUGACUAGCUCACCUGGAAAGGCUCUGGCUGCCUCUGAGUGUCAUUGUCACCCUAUUGCCCAUUUCCUGACUCUGUUCCCUUCUCUAGCCCUGCAAGGCACUCAGGCUUCUAGAGGAUCUAGUGAGAUCACCUCGUGAUAUGGUAGGAUUUGUGUCCCCACCCAAAUCUCAUCUUGAAAUGUAAUCCCCAUAGUCCCCAUGGGUCAAGGGAGAGACCAGGUGGAGGUAAUUGAACCGAGGGGGCAGUUUCCCCCAUGGUGUUCUCAUGAUAGUGAGUGAGUUCUCCCAAGACCUGAUGGUUUUAUAAGGGGCUCUUCCACCUUCACUCAGCACUUCUCCUUGUGAAGAAGGUGCCUUGCUUCCCCUUUGCCUUCCGCCAUGAUUGUAAGUGUCCUGAGGCCUCCCCAGCCAUGCUGAACUGUGAGUCAAUUAAAC
This 2328-nucleotide long non-coding RNA is filed under the name Homo sapiens (human). RNAcentral's name for it is "HSALNT0007137". The record is from RNAcentral. Lineage: Eukaryota; Metazoa; Chordata; Mammalia; Primates; Hominidae.